This 1594-nucleotide long non-coding RNA is filed under the name Hordeum vulgare. RNAcentral describes it as "long non-coding RNA (HVUL_LNC015570)". The record is from RNAcentral. Lineage: Eukaryota; Viridiplantae; Streptophyta; Magnoliopsida; Poales; Poaceae.
CCACCAACACCCGAACCCGGACUUGGAGCAGAUCGUGCUGCCGCCUCGGAUCCCCUCGCUGGACCCAGCAGAUGCACCCGUAGGAGCUCGUGGCCGGCCUGAACAGAGCCUCCUAUCGUCGUCUUGCGCGCCCGAGGAUCGAGCUGUAGCAGCUCGCUCUCUGUGUUGCCGCAAGUGCCCUGCGCCAUUUGAACUGCCGCGCAAGCCAAGCAUGGUGAACAGCCUCCCGUACUUAUCCCGCGCGCUAGCCGUUGCUAUGCAUCGCUAGCCGGUUUUGCUUCGGCCAUCAGAGAUUCAGAGUUCACAGCAGCUGGCAGUCCGUCGUACAUCCACUGGUUGGCUAGCAAAGCCAACCUUCAUGCUAGAGGUCUUGUGAUUGAAUCACAUGCACCCCGUUUUUCCUUUUGUUAUUUUGUUGGUCUUGCUUCGCUCGUCAUUCAGUUUGAGAAAUCCUUUUAGGCCUUGUUCGGUUGUUUGAGAAUUGAAGGGGUUUGGAGAAGAUUGGGAAGGAUUAAAUCCCCUAUAAGUCAAAUUCUACUUCAAUCCCCUCCCAUCCUCUCCAAUCCUCUCCAAUCCCCUCCUUGUUGGAAUUAAUCGAACAAGCCCUUAUUGCAAACGUUCUAGUGUAGCUCACUGAUCACCCGUCCAUGCACAUCGAGGGAGUUCGUUGGGUCGAAUCCCAGAGUAGCCUAAGUUCUUUUCUUCCAUUGAUUUUAUUUUUUUCUUUUGUGUGCACAGCUACUUGGGCCAAUUUCACUAAUGGGCCACUGCAAGCUAUUAAAAUACGUCCUAUGAUUUAUUUUUUCCUCGAGCAUUUUCAUCAAUAACCUAGUCAUGCAUGGUUGGAUGAGUUGCAAGUUGUUCGUUUCGUAGAUGCCAUGUUAGUUGCACGUAUCCAAUAUUCAUGCCUCCGGCACAUGGUAAACCGGUUAAUCAGGAUCAUCCGAUUAUUCUUUGGCAUGACAUGCACACACUUCCAAUUUGUUUGCACCGGUAUUUCGUCGAGCUAUCGGAACUGGAACGUGUCGUGGCUAUCAUUUGCAUGGAUGUUGCAUUCAUGGAAUAAUUUCCUGUGUUGCACGUACCUUGUAGGCGUAACUCCAUUGGAUAUGAGCUAUGUGUGUAAACUGACUAGAAUGACGUGUAGAAUCACAUGCUCCACUUCUUGCCGUGUUAACAAAAAUUUAUAAUUGCCGUGUACCUAAACGGGAGUGAAUUAAAUAUUUAAAUGUGGAGUUUUGUCUUGGAUAUUGAGUUUCACUUAAUGUGUAGUGUUUGAUGUUGUGAAUUGCCAUGCCAUGCCUUACAUAAUUAAACCGAUUAUGCAUCAUAUGUGUUGUGCAUUAUAUCGUGCAUAUGUUGUGGUGUUACCGUGUGUUGAUUGUUGUUCUGGCUUGUUUCUUAUCGAUAGAGUUUCAAAUCGCUUCGGAGUGUGAGGAUCUGUUCGACUACGUCGGUUCGUCUGCUUCACGGUUUCGUUCUUCUUUCAAGCAGGAUCUCAGACAAGAUGACAAUUUCCCUAGAUACCAUUACUAUCAACACCAUGCUAGUUGUCUCGUUUCUUUCGAUAUGUCUCGCUGCCUAUCACUUANNN